RNA transcript from Phacochoerus africanus (Common warthog), 638 nucleotides. RefSeq lists it as uncharacterized. The record is from RefSeq and is a predicted model, not a curated record. Lineage: Eukaryota; Metazoa; Chordata; Mammalia; Artiodactyla; Suidae. The transcript has 2 exons.
AUGGAAGUGUACAACAGAAGAGCGCGACGCAGCGACAGCUACUGCGGCCCCGCUCCGCGCCCCGGGAGCCAGCGGCGGGCGCAGACUGAGCAACAACCAAACUACUUCCUCCUCCGGCGCCGCGCCGCGGGCCCGCCCCCUGCGCUGCAGGCACGCACACGUCACGGCGUCACACGCGCUGGUUCAAGGGGUGCUAUCCUACUGUCUGUGGUCACUUUUGCCAAGAGUAAGUCAAAAACAAUUCUGGUGAAACUGAUAAGCCAAGCUGGAAUGGGCUGUUUCCUUAACACUACAAUUACAGGAGAAACUGACUCUGUUGCAUUAUGAUCCAGCUGAGGGAAAAAAAAAAGUUUUCUUUGUGGAAAAGAAAAAAAUACACUCCCUCUAAACAAAAGAUUGAAAAUGAAUUUGAUUUAUAAAUGAGAAGACUGAGGGCUGGGUACGGAUUUAGAAAUUCUGAGCAGGCAAUAAAAGAAGAGGAAAUGGCACAAAAUUACCACCUCUUAUGAUUUGAAGGCCAUUGUGAAGGAAAACAAUGCAGUGAAAGAAACUUCUUCAUACAAGGCUAUAUAUCAUUGCAUCACAUUUAUUUAUCUUUCUGGAUUUUUUUAUAGCCCUUAAUAAUUAAAAAUAUUUAA